AUACGGAGGGAGCAAGCGUUGUUCGGAAUCACUGGGCGUAAAGCGAGUGUAGGUUGUCAGGUAAGUAGGAUGUGAAAGCCCGGGGCUCAACCCCGGAAUUGCAUUCUAAACUGCCUGGCUAGAGUCCCGGAGAGGGAGGUGGAAUUCCGAGUGUAGAGGUGAAAUUCGUAGAUAUUCGGAGGAACACCAGAGGCGAAGGCGACCUCCUGGACGGUGACCGACACUGAGACUCGAAAGCGUGGGGAGCAAACAGGAUUAGAUACCCCAGUAGUCC
This 274-nucleotide ribosomal RNA is filed under the name uncultured bacterium. RNAcentral's name for it is "partial 16S ribosomal RNA". It matches the Rfam family "Bacterial small subunit ribosomal RNA", at positions 523 to 796 of the family's 1533-position model. The record is from RNAcentral.